RNAcentral lists this ribosomal RNA (578 nucleotides) under uncultured bacterium. RNAcentral's name for it is "partial 16S ribosomal RNA". It matches the Rfam family "Bacterial small subunit ribosomal RNA", at positions 355 to 1376 of the family's 1533-position model. The record is from RNAcentral.
UAAGGAAUAUUGCUCAAUGGGAGAAAUCCUGAAGCAGCAACGCCGCGUGGAGGAUGAAGGGUUUUUAACUUGUAAACUCCUGUAAAGAAGGAAAAAAUUCCCAUUGAUGGGAAAUGAUGGUACUUCUGGAGUAAGCCCCGGCUAACUACGUGCCAGCAGCCGCGGUAAUACGUAGGGGGCAAGCGUUGUCCGGAUUUACUGGGUGUAAAGGGUGCUCAGGCGGAUUUGUAAGUCAGAGGUGAAAUCUCACAGCUUAACUGUGAAACUGCCUUUGAUACUGCAAGCCUAGAGUAUGGAAGAGAGUGAUGGAAUAUCUGGUGUAGCAGUGAAAUGCGUAGAUAUCAGAUAGAACACCAAUGGCGAAGGCAGUCACUUGGUCCAUAACUGACGCUAAAGCACGAAAGCGUGGGUAGCAAACAGGAUUAGAUACCCUGGUAGUCCACGCCCUAAACGAUGAAUACUAGAUGUUGGCUUCGCAUGAAGUCAGUAUCUGAGCUAACGCAUUAAGUAUUCCACCUGGGAAGUACGAUCGCAAGGUUGAAACUCAAAUGAAUUGACGGGGUCAUAGCUGUUUCCUG